Molecule: ribosomal RNA, 852 nt
Filed under: uncultured bacterium
Lineage: Bacteria
Description: SSU rRNA
Rfam family: Bacterial small subunit ribosomal RNA
Source: RNAcentral
UACGGAGGAUCCGAGCGUUAUCCGGAUUUAUUGGGUUUAAAGGGAGCGUAGGUUGACGUAUAAGUCAGCUGUGAAAGUUUACGGCUCAACCGUGAAAUUGCAGUUGAUACUGUAUGUCUUGAGUGUACAAGAGGUGGGCGGAAUUCGUGGUGUAGCGGUGAAAUGCUUAGAUAUCACGAAGAACUCCAAUUGCGAAGGCAGCUCACUGGGGUACAACUGACACUGAGGCUCGAAAGUGUGGGUAUCAAACAGGAUUAGAUACCCUGGUAGUCCACACAGUAAACGAUGAAUACUCGCUGUUUGCGAUAUACAGUAAGCGGCCAAGCGAAAGCAUUAAGUAUUCCACCUGGGGAGUACGCCGGCAACGGUGAAACUCAAAGGAAUUGACGGGGGCCCGCACAAGCGGAGGAACAUGUGGUUUAAUUCGAUGAUACGCGAGGAACCUUACCCGGGCUUGAAUUGCAGAGGAACAUAGUUGAAAGAUUAUGGCCGCAAGGUCUCUGUGAAGGUGCUGCAUGGUUGUCGUCAGCUCGUGCCGUGAGGUGUCGGCUUAAGUGCCAUAACGAGCGCAACCCUUAUCAUUAGUUACUAACAGGUCAUGCUGAGGACUCUAGUGAGACUGCCGUCGUAAGAUGUGAGGAAGGUGGGGAUGACGUCAAAUCAGCACGGCCCUUACGUCCGGGGCUACACACGUGUUACAAUGGGGGGUACAGAGGGCAGCUACCGGGCGACCGGAUGCCAAUCCCAAAAACCUCUCUCAGUUCGGAUCGAAGUCUGCAACCCGACUUCGUGAAGCUGGAUUCGCUAGUAAUCGCGCAUCAGCCACGGCGCGGUGAAUACGUUCCCGGGCCU